ACAAUUCCUAAUUUUAAACCAAACAUGGUUUGUCCAUAUCCAUUGCCUAAAAUUUGUGAUGUGUAACAUCAAAAUAAAUAAAAAUGGCUAAUGAGUUAUAAGUAUUCUAAUGAAUAAGAUAUAUUCUUCAUAAUAAAUGGAAAUCCCAUAUUUUAGGCAUAUCAAUAUGCUACAUUGUACAACAAACAUAUCACAUAUCACAUAGCCAUAUCCAUAUCCAUAUGAUACAAGAAAGAGUGGAUGAAUCCAAAAAUACAAACUAAACAAUUACAGGAAACUAGAGCCUAGAGGAUAUGCCCACAUCUUGUUUUUCUCCUAUAGCUAGCUAAAUACAGAUAGAAAGUGUAAUCAUCCAAUUAAACUUUCCAAUCUUGUCUUUAUUCCUCUUGAUCAAUCAUAUAGUAUUUUGAUAUCAUCGAUGCCACUCCAUUUAUAUUUACCAUAUAAUAGUAACUAGUUAUCUAGAAAUAUAUUAUUGACAUCCAUAAAAAAUGAAGAACGGGUAGAAUGUCUGAAGUGUGGGUACGGGAGUUGUUCUGCUACUAAAAGGUAGAAAAGCCCCAUUACUCCAGCGUGUUCCUUGGUGCUAUUGUAGAUAGAUUCUAGAGUUAAAGUUUCACCAUCAAUUAUUUUGACAGAACCUAGUUUAGGAUAACAAGUGGACAUUCCUACAAUGUAUCCUGCUUCAUUUCCGGCAUCAUUUCCAUUUCCAUAAGUUGGUAUAGAUGAACAUAUAACCCUUCCGUCCUGAAAACAUAAUAUCCACAAAUUUCACUACUUUACAAUGUUUAACUUCUUGAUCAAAAUUUAAAGUCGCAGAACAACAACCCUAGUACAAAAGUAAACAUACAAAAAACGUAAACAGAGAACACAUGAUAUUUGAUCAAUUAGACAAUUCCAUAGUUACCUUUGAAUUAAUUCAUACCUGUAAAAAGUGAUAUCUAAAUUGUACAAUUGUUCUAAAAAAGAUUUGAACUCUAUCUAUUAAAGUUACAAAGUUAAAGUCUUACCAUAAUAAUUGUAACUUGUAACUAUUAUAAAUUACCUGUCCAUAUAGAGUUGAUCCAAUUCCACCCGAAUGUUGAUGAGCAACACCAUAUAUCACAUAGCCACCAAUUUGUAGUGGGAGACUUGUCCUCUUCACAUGAACACAACUAUUUGCCUCAUUAUGGUCUGCAUUGCAAGCUUCAACUAUAUAAUCAAUCUGAAACAAAGAAAUAUGUGUUGCUCACUAUAAAAUUCCCAAUAAAGUAAUUUAUUAGUGUUGCAUGUUUUUGAGUCAAAUUGAGAUUGAAACAAAAAAACUAUAAUGGAUUCAUUUACCAAAUGUUUCUUGAUGAAUUCAUUUACCUUGCAAUUAUGGUCUGAAUUCAUUCCUUUUGAAUCAUCUGAUAGUUUCAAAGUAUCAGUCACAUCAAUUAUAUAUAUCUUAACAGGCACUAUAAAAUCAUCCCAAUCAACCCAUUCCACAGUGUAUUUCAGGUAAAGACUUCUCUUUGGACCCUCAAAACCUUCCUUCAACUUACACUGUGUAUGAUCAUAACAACAUACCAAACCUCCUUUAUAAUCUGGCCUAAUAGACCUUCCAUGUGAAUCCACCGUAACAUUAUAAAGCUCGCACUUACAUUCAGUGCACCCUAACUUAUCCUCCACACCGCGUGUAUCAAUUGCAUGAACAUUAACCAACCAUUUCUCCUCGAACCCUUCCGGAAUCUCUGCAGGAUUCCCUAUCUCUAUUCCAAAAGGAUCCGGAAUAUCGGUCGCUGUUCCUCGUGUUUCGGAUCCAAGACCAAAGUAUUGUGGAAGAGUAUUUCCCUGACAUGUGCCACUGUUCCUAACAGUAUUAUUCCACUGCAAGUUUGCUUUACUUUGAUGAUAUCUUACAACAAGCCAAUGAUGGAGAUAAGUUUCAUGAAGAGGUAUAGGAUUACCAGCUUCAUCAACUACUUCAGCAUUGAAACUCUUGAUUGCUACACGACCUCUUGGAAAAUCAAUAUCAUAAUAAAUUCCAUUAACAACUGAUCCAGGUCCUAGCUCAAAUUUGGGGGACAAAAAAACAGCUGAUUUUAUCUUAGCUUUAGUCUUCAGAAUUGAACCUGAGCAUGAUGUGCUCAACAACAGAAGAAGUAUUGCAAGUGAAGAUACAAAAUUUUCAGACAUAAAAGUAGAACACAUGUUGAUCUGUUAGCAAAAGAACACAGUUGGGGUUUGUUUGUUUGUUGAGGAGAAAUUUAGAGUUUGUCGGUAUCAAAUGGUAGAUUUAACUUAUAUUUAUAGAUCAAUGAAUGAAUGAAAGUGAAGUAAUUUAAAAAAAAGUCAUGUUCUGUUGAACCCAUUGGGAUUGGUCGAGUGGUGUUGGCUUGGGCUCUUGGAGUAUGCUCCUCUCAAGGUCUCAGGUUCGAUUCCCACUGGUGCCAAUUUCGGUGAGCUAAGUCCAUACAGAGCAAAAAAAACUCUGGCUUUAAAUGGGGCCCCCGCAAGUGGGCGGUGGAAUUGGUCCCCUUAAAUUAGUCGGUCCUAAGACCGGAUACCAAGUUUUUAAAAAAAAAAGAGUCAUGUUCUGUUGUUUCCUAGUAGGUAACACUCAUCAAUAGGUUCGUUGCAAAAUUUAAGUAUGCACAGGAAAAACGUUUAACUUACUGUGAGAUCUUACACCUCAUGUUGAUAAUUUAAGGAUAUUUAAGUCACUUCAUAUGCAUAUGACAAAUUAUCAAUGGGUCCUAGUUUGACUAGCGAAAACAGUUUCAAAAUCAAACACAAUAUAAUUGAAAUUAUGUUGUCCAGUCUCUUAUUUUUUAGCAGAUUAAAUGCACAAAUUUUACUCCAUCUAAUCUAACCUUAGUUUUGCGAGCUUAAUUAUAACUUAUAAGUAAAUAUUUCACUCAUUUAAUAACCGGUUAAAUACAUCGGUUUUAUUCAAUAAAUCUAUAAAAAAGAAGUGACAAAAUUACACCAUGAGUCAUUUAUCUUAUUUAUUUCUAAUAGAUUUGUCGGGUAUUUUUUUUUUAAAAAAAAAAACUGAUCACCUAUCUUGAUAAAUGUGCACAAUUUAAUCAUUUAUCAUAUUUAUUUGUAAUAUAUUCAUCUAUUAUCUUAUUUAUUUGUAACAUAUUCGUCCUUUAUCUUUUUUUCUUUUCCCACACAUGUCAUUUAUCUUUAUAAAUGUGCACAACUUAAUUUUUUAUCUUAUUUAUUUGUAACAUAAUAAAAUGUUUGAAACAUGGAACAAGGUGUUCUUGCGAUGAAGCACCGACACCUCUAUGAUUAGGCGUGUCGCGAUGUCCGACACGUGUCGGUGUCCGACACACGUAUGACACUCGUACGACACGUGUCGGAUAGCUCAGAUCGGUGUCCAUAAAAACUCAAUUUUUCAAUAAAUAACUUGCUCAACUUAGAUUUACAUGUAUAUAUUUUGACUCUCAAUUUAUAUUUUUUAUAAAUAUGUAGCGGUGUCGGUGUUCUAUAUUUUUUACAAUAGCGGUGUCGCGGCGUCCGUGUCGGUGUCGUGUCGCAGUGUCCGUGUCGGAGUCUGUGCUUCAUAGCUUGCGAGUAUAUUUGGAAAGACACUAAAGGUUGGAUUUUAAAUGUUAGUGGUUAAGUCGAAUGUUGGAUAUACAAGAGAAGUGACUCAUGAACUAAUACCUUAAAGUUUUGUGUAGAGAUACGACGUCUCCCUCUCAUGUGAUCCUGGAGUAUUAACUCAUUGUUACUUUCGACGCUACCUGAACUCUCCAGUAAAUGGUAUCAAAACUGUGGUUCGAUAGUGUUUAUAAAAUUUGAUCACCUCUCUUCUUACAAGCAGAUUUUAUAAGAUCGAAUUAGACUCAAGUUAAAUUCUAACAAAACCCUUUGAUUGUUACUAUUCUCUGCACUCUGCAGAUGUCCUGUUAUUCUUCUGGACUGCCUUAAUCUCAUGACUUGUGUGAGAAUUAACUACAAGAGAAUAGUAAAAAUAUGCUAAUAAUAACAACCAUGGCUUGAAUGUGGUUGAACACUUCUGGCUUGAAUUCAGUAUAAUCUUGAAGGCCGUUCUCUUUAUUUAUUUAGCAAAUCCUUGAAUAUUAAUAUUGGUUACUCCAAGGCUAAUAUUUAGAUAUAAUUUAUCUCAAUUUAAGCCAUUGGAUAUAUCUUUUUUUAACUUCUGAGUCUCGUCAUACAUUACCUGUGUAUAUAUAGUGUAUAUCUAUCUGUCUGAUUUAAGGGGCUAUAAAAUAUUUAUGCCAGGAUCCUGUUUGUUACACUACACAGUAAGAUUACUACAGAUGCNNNNNNNNNNNNNNNNNNNNNNNNNNNNNNNNUUUCAGAUCAGAGAUUAGUUCUAUAAAAAUGUGUUAAUCUAUUACUAUCACUUUCUACCCUUGAGGCCUUGACAAAUGAGUUCAUUCUCACUAUUGAAAUGAGAGGAAGUGACGGGGACCAGAGUUGAGGCGAAGUUACAAACGUAGGGAGCAGCGACGGUUGAGCUAUGAACGAGGAAGCAAAUGUGGGUUCACAAUUUUGCCAAGGGUGGCAGACAACUGACUUGUUCCGUAAGGAAGCCACACCUGUGGCAGGACCCUAUACUUGUUCCAUAGCCACUUUGCAUGUACGUUUCAAGAGAGAAGAUCUUUUAAGCAACUUUAGGACAUAAACAACAUUAGCUACUCACAAUUCCUAAUAUUAAACAUCAAAAUAAAUUUGUGAUGUGUAACAUCAAAAUAAAUAAAAAUGGCUAAUGGGUUAUAAGUGUUCUAAUGAAACAGAAAUAUUCUUCAUAAUAAAUGGAAAUCCCAUUAUUUUAAGCAUAUCAAUAUGCUUUUUAUUUUUUGAAACAUAAGCAUAUCAAUAUGCUACAUUGUACAACAAACAUACCACAUAGCCAUAUCCAUAUGAUACCAGAAAGAGUGGAUGAAUACAAAAAUACAAACUAAACAAUUACAGGAAACUAGAGGAUAGAAUGUCUAAAGUGCUGGUAUAUGGGAGUUGUUCGGCUACUAAAAGGUAGAAAAGCCCCAUUACUCCAGCGUGUUCCUUGGUGUUAUUGUAGAUAGAUUCUAGAGUUAAAGUUUCACCAUCGAUUAUCUUGACAGAACCUGGUUGAGGAUAACAAGUGGACAUUCCUACAAUGUGCCCUACUUCAUUUCCUGCUUCAUUCCCAUUUCCAUAAAUUGGUAUAGAUGAACAUAUAACCCUCCCGUCCUGAAAACAUAAUCCACAAAUUUCACAAAACAAGCUACUGCACAAUGUUUAACUACUUGAUCAAAGGUAAAAGUACUAGAAAACAACCCUGGUACAAAAGUAAACAUUCGAAAAACGACCAAGUAUUGAAGUUACAAACUCAAAGUCUUACCACUACCAAAUAUUUAAGAAUGACAAUAAGUUGUAACUAUUGCAAAUUACCUGUCCAUAUAGAGUUGAUCCAAUUCCGCCCGAAUGUUGAUGAGCAACCCCAUAGAUCACAUAGCCACCUGUUUGAAAUGGGAGAUUUGUCCUCUUUACAUGAACACAACCAUUUUCCUCCUUGUGGUCUGUACUGCAUGAUUCUACUUGAUACUCAACCUGAAACCAAAAAAAAUUCCAUGUUGCUUACUAUAAAACCCAACAAAGUAGAGUUUUAGAGUUAAAUAGAGAUUUAGACAAACAAACUACAUAUAUAGUUGAGAGACUCGACAUUCACACAAUCAGUACACCGGUAGCCGUUGGAUUGAGAUUGGACCAUCAUAGAUUCCAAGUGCGGUAUUUUGGAUUUUCAAACAAUCAAAAUCAUAUAUUUUGGGAAAUGUCCGAUUUUUAACCAACAGUCACUGGUGCAUUGAAUACGUGAAAGCAGGGUAUCCCAACUACACUGAACCCAUUUCAACUAACCAAAUGUUUCUUGAUAAAUUCAUUUACCUUGCAAUUAUGAUCUGAGUUCGUUCCUUUUGAAUCAUCUGAUAGUUUCAAAGUAUCAGUCACAUCAAGUACAUAUAUCUUAACAGGCACUAUAUAAUCAUCCCAAUCAAUCCAUUUCACUUUGUAUCUUAAGUAGAGGCUUCUCUUUGGACCCUCAAAACCUUCCUUCAGCUUGCACUGUGUAUUAUCAUAACAACAUAACAAACCUCCUUUAUAAUCUGGUCUAAUAGACCUUCCAGAUUCAUCGAUUGUAACAUUAUAAAGGUCACACUUACACUCGGUGCACCCUGAUUUAUCCUCUGCGCCGCGAUUAUCAAUAGCAUGAAUAUUAACCAGCCAUUUCUCCUCAAACUCUUCUGGAAUCUCUGCAGGAUUACCUAUCUCUAUUCCAAAAGGAUCCGGAAUAUCAGUCGCCGUUCGUCGUGUUUCGGAUCCAAGGCCAAAGUAUUGUGCAUAAAUAGUUCCCUGACACAUGCCACUGUUCCUAAAAGUAUUUUUCAAAUGCGAGUUUGCUUUACUUUGAUGAUAUCUUACAACAACCCAAUGAUGGAGAUAAGUUUCAUGGAGAGGUAUAGGAUUACCAGCUUCAUCAACUACUUCAGCAUCGAAACUCUUGAUUGCUACAUGACCUCUUGGAAAAUCAAUAUCAUAAUAAAAUCUAUUAACAACUGAUCCAGGUCCUAGCUCAAAUUUGGGGGAUAAGAAAACAGCUGAUUUUAUCUUAGCUUUAGUCUUCAGAAUAGAACCUGAGCAAGAUGUGCUCAACAACAGAAGAAGUAUUGAAAGUGAAAAUACAAAAUUUCCAGACAUAGAACACAUGUUGAUCUUAGCAAAAUCUUGCAUGAUAGUCCUCCCUGGAAGCCUUUAAAAAAGUGAAUUAAACUACAAAAUAAACAAAACAGAUAAUAUAUGGCAGAUCAUAUCACCAAAUAAACUAACUACACAAAUAAGCAUGAAAAAGACAUAGUUUGAACAAAAUCAUCAUCAUCAAGAUUUUAAAUUAGUCACAUGGCAACUUAUAAAUACAGUUGAAGUUGAUUCAGCUUCAAUUGCAAUCACAACUAGUCAUCAAAAUUUUGAUGUUGUGACUACAAUUGUUGUCACAGAACAUAACAUUUUUAAAACAUAAACUUAUGAUCAAGCAACUUUGUUUUAUAUUAAAAAAAAAAGUAUAAUUAGCAAUAUUAGAUAGUGAUUAUAGAAACUAAUGACCAAAAAGGAUUAGAGUAUAUGAUCAAGAAUAGAUAGAUGAGAUUGCAUACCUCAAGAAAGUCUGGAAAAUGACAGAGUCUGGAAAUUUAGAGUGUGUCGGUAUUAAAUAGUAGAUAAGAUAAUGAAUGAGUGAAUGAAUGCAAGUGUAGAGAUUGUAAUUCAAUAUUUUAAAUUAUCUUUUCUUUCCUUUUUGGGACACGCAGCCCCUAAAUAUAUUUAGCCGACUAAAUUAAUAUAUUUAAAUAGCUUAAGCAUUUUAUUAAAAAUAAAUGGUAUAAUCAACUUCUGAUAAUGUCUAAUUUUUUUUUUUAAGUAAAAAUGGAAAGCAUGACAUCAUAGUAAGUCAUCGACAUCCCAACUAUAUUGACACCUCAGUGCACUAUCACUCCUCUAUUAUCUCACCAAAAAUAUACUUCAUAAUUUGUCUUAUCCUUUUAACAAUUACUAGUAAUUAUUCAUUGACAAUGAUAUGUUGGUGCUCCCAUCCCACCUCUAAAAAAAAUUUCUCCAUCUUCAAAAAUAUAUAAGAAAAUGAUAAAGAAAAUGAGUGGCUGAUAAGCUCUAUAUUAUUCUAAAUACUAAAUUUAUCCGUUGAAAUUUUUUAAAUUCAGAACUACUUCACAAAGUGAUAUCUUACGUAUUUUCUAUAUAGGAGCAUAAGUGUCUUCACAAAAUACUAAUUCCUUUAGUUCAAUUUUUCUACCCAACCAAACAAGCAAAGAGAACACUUAUCUUUUCUUACCCAGUUUCUCUUUUCUCGAAUACAUAGGUGUUAUUCAAAAAUCUAAAAAAAUGUGACAAAAUUAUACUAGGAGUUAUUUAUCUUUAUUAUUGAUUUUUAUUGCGAAGUUGUAGUGCACCAUUCUUAUCGUGGAGCAAACUUUUGUGCGGAUACAUUGACAAAUUACGAGUGUUUAUUGGAUAAAAAGAUGAAAUUUUAAGAGUCAUAUCCGGUGAAUUUUAGUCAUUUGUUAAUUACUAAUGUAAUUGGGAGAAUUUCUUCCGCUAUAUUAAUCUUGUGUAAUCUUUUUUCUCUUUUCUCGAAUACAUAGGUGUUAUUCAAAAAUCUAAAAAAAUGUGACAAAAUUAUCCUAGGAGUUAUUUAUCUUUAUCUUCUUUUUUCCCCAAAUUGAUCACUUAUCUUUAUAAAUGUGCACAACUAAAUCUUUUAUCAUAUUUGUUUGUAACAUAUUCAUCAAUUAUUUUAUUUAUUUAUAACAUAUUCAUCCUUUAUCUUAUUUUUUAUCUCACACGUGUCAUUUAUCUUUAUAAAUGUGUACGAAUAUUUCAAAGGGAUGGGCUGCAAUAUUUCAAUGUUUGGUCGCGAGGUAAGGAAAGUUUGACAAAAAAUUUAUUCCCACCAAAUAUCGAACUCAGGUUCUCCCGAACAAUUCAUCCUUAAGGGAGCUAAUUUACUCUAUAUUAUCCAAUAAACAUGGAUGUUCUUGCGAGUAUAUUUGGAAAGACACUAAAUGUUGGAUUUUAAAUGUUAGUGGUUCAGUCGAAUGUUGGAUAUAAAAUGUUGCGAGUAUAUCAGAACUGUGGUUCAAUAGUGUUUAUAAAAUUUGGACACCACUCUCUUACAAGCCGAUUUUAUAAGAUCGAAUUAAACUAACUCAAAUUCUAACCAAACCCUUUGAUUGAUUGUUACUAUGUCUGCACAAGAUCUGUUAUUCUUUUGUAUUGCCUUAAUCUCAUGACUUGUGUAUAUCUAUCUUUCUGAUUUAAGGGGCUAUAAAAUAUUUAUUCCAGGAUCCUGUUUGUUACACUACACUGUAAGAUUGUUUCAGAUGCUAAAUUAGCGUUUCAGAUCAGAGAUUAGUUCUAUAACAAUGUGUUAACCUAUUACUAUCACUUUCUACCCUUGAGGCCUUGACAAAUGAGUUUGUUCUGACUAUUGAAACGAGAGAGACGAACAUGGACAAAAACUAACCUAAUUGAAAUGCAAUGGUGACAACUGAGNNNNNNNNNNNNNNNNNNNNNNNNNNNNNNNNNNNNNNNNNNNNNNNNNNNNNNNNNNNNNNNNNNNNNNNNNNNNNNNNNNNNNNNNNNNNNNNNNNNNNNNNAUAUCUAUAUCCAUAUAUGAUACUUAUCACAUAGCCAUAUAACAUAUUCAUAUAUGAUACAAGAAAGAGUGGAUGAAUCCAAAAAUACAAACUGUAUAUCACUAAAACUAGAGAAUAUGCUCACCUCUUGUUUUUCUCCUAUAGCUAGCUACAUACAAAGAGAAAAAAGUGUAAUUAUCCAAUUACACUUUCCAAUCUUGUCUUUAUUCCUCUCAAGUCUUAACCAACCAUAUGGUAAUUUAAUAUCAUGUCACUCCGCUUAUAUUACCAUUUAUUUACAUCCAUAAAAAAUGAAGAACGAGUAGAAUGUCUAAAGUGUUGGUAUGGGAGUUGUUCUGCUACUAAAAGGUAGAAAAGCCCCAUUACUCCAGAGUGUUCCUUGGUGUUAUUGUAGAUAGAUUCUAGAGUUAAAGUUUCACCAUCGAUUAUCUUGACAGAACCUGGUUGAGGAUAACAGGUGGACAUUCCUACAAUGUACCCUACUUCAUUUCCUGCUUCAUUCCCAUUUCCAUAAGUUGGUAUAGAUGAACAUAUAACCCUACCGUCCUGAAAACAUAAUUCACAAAUUUCACAAAACAAGCUACUGCACAAUGUUUAACUUCUUGAUCAAAAGUAAAAGUACUAGAAAACAACCCUGGUACAAGAGUAAAC
This 9800-nucleotide long non-coding RNA is filed under the name Trifolium pratense (red clover). RNAcentral describes it as "long non-coding RNA (TPRA_LNC001351)". Lineage: Eukaryota; Viridiplantae; Streptophyta; Magnoliopsida; Fabales; Fabaceae. The record is from RNAcentral.